This 305-nucleotide ribosomal RNA is filed under the name uncultured bacterium. RNAcentral describes it as "bacterial SSU rRNA". It matches the Rfam family "Bacterial small subunit ribosomal RNA", at positions 499 to 799 of the family's 1533-position model. The record is from RNAcentral.
UCCUACGGGGGGCAGCAGCCGCGGUAAUACGUAGGUGGCGAGCGUUAUCCGGAAUGAUUGGGCGUAAAGGGUGCGCAGGCGGUCCUGCAAGUCUGGAGUGAAACGCAUGAGCUCAACUCAUGCAUGGCUUUGGAAACUGGAGGACUGGAGAGCAGGAGAGGGCGGUGGAACUCCAUGUGUAGCGGUAAAAUGCGUAGAUAUAUGGAAGAACACCAGUGGCGAAGGCGGCCGCCUGGCCUGUUGCUGACGCUGAGGCACGAAAGCGUGGGGAGCAAAUAGGAUUAGAUACCCCGGUAGUCCGAAGG